CAGCCAGACCCCCAGGCAGCAGGCAGCAGCACAAGGGGAGCGGGCACUCAGCAGGCCCGGCUCCCCUGGCCUGGGCAGGGAGGCAGGGAGCGGGCGGGAGAGACCGAUGUCCCAGCAGGGCCCAGCACUGCAGGGGGUGCCCAUGAAGCGCAGCCUCCCCAGCACAGCUCUGCCACUGCGAGACGAGAGCGGCAAGGAUGUGAGCGUUGUGCCCAAGAGUGAAGGCCCAGCCCAGCUGAAGGUAAGGAGCCAGGGAGGCCACUGCACAGCCCAGGACGCAGGUGAGAAGGCCGGGAGCCGCCUCCCUGAGCCGACCAUCUCCCGCAAGAGCUACCCUGGCAGGCAGAGGCCCAGGCAGCAGCCGUCAGCACAGCGGGGCCGCGCCCUCAGCCUGCCCGUGUCAGCUUCCCUGGGCAGCCAGGCAGGGCCACAGCAGCAGAGGCAAGCGGCAGAGCAGGAGCCGGCAGUGCAGGGGGUGCGCAAGAAGCACAGCGUGAGCAGCACAGCUGUGCCCGGCCAAGAGAGACCCAGGAAGCGUGGCAGUGUCCUUGCCCAGAGCGAGCGCUCCCAGAAGCUGAAGACAUGGAGGCUGGUGUGCCACUGCAUGGCCCAGGACGCGGCUGUGAAGCCCAGGGGCCUGGUCACGGUGCGAGUCGUCUCCCCCGAGAUCUCGCCGGGGAGCCGCCGGCCCAGCCAGCAGCCCGACCCACAAUGUUGCCGGGCACGCAGCCUGCCCGUGGCAGCUUCCCUGGGCAGGGAGGCAGGGCCAGAGCCCAGGAGAAGAGCGUCAGAGCCAGGCCCAGCACUGCCCAGGCUCCACAGGAGACGCACCCUCAGCAGCCCGGCUGUGCCGCUGCAACAGCAACCCGGCAAGGAUGGGAGCCUUGUGCCCCACACUGAGCCUGGGCAGCAGCGGCAGGAGAGGCCGCGCGCCAGCGCCGAGGGCAGAGCGCUUCCACUGUGCAAAGCCACUCUGCAGCUUCUGGGGGAAAUCUCCAGCCAUCAGAAGGUGCUGGAGUGGCUGCAAGCAACUUUCCCCGACACCGGUGGGGCCUCGGCCGAGCAACAGGAAGAGCAGCAAGGUGAUAGACAGCAAGAGCUCUGCCAAGGGGAAGGUGUCACUGAGCCAAGGCUGUGCCAAGAGGAAAAGAAGGCAGAGCAAGAGCUGUCCGAAAGGGAAGACGGUAAGGACCAAGAGCUUUCCAAAGGGGAGGAUGAGAUGGAACAAGAGCUGUCCCAAGUGGAAGCCAGCAAUAGCAGAGCCGUGGUGCAAGGAGAAGAUGAGAAGGAGGAAGACGUGUGCCAGGGGGAAGAGGAGAAGAAAGAAGAGCCGUGCCAAGGGAAAGUCAGCGGUGAUAAGAGUGUGCAGGGGAAGAGGAGAAGAAAGAAGAGCCGUGCCAAGGGAAAGUCAGCGGUGAUGAAGAGCUGUGGCAAGGAGAAGAGGAGAAGAAGGAGGAGGUGCGUGAAGAGGACGAUGGCAAGAAGGAAGAGCAGUCUGAAGGGGAGGAGGACAUCAGCUGCAACAUCGGGGACAAGCCCUUAGGCCCGGUGAACGAGGGGCUCCCUGGCACUUCUCCCCAGCAGCUGCCCAGCUGCCCCAGCACUGUGGGCACAGAGGCAGCAGCACAGGCAGCUGGUGACCUGCCCAGCACGUCUCCUGCCCACGCUGGUGCCACGGCCUCUGAGGCAGCAGGUGCUGAGCUGGCCAGAGCUGCUGGGAAAGAGGAGCAGCGUGCAGCUCUUGCUGCCCAGGCCCAAGAGGCGUCAACGGCAGCAGCUUCUCCUGCGUGUGGCGAGCAGCUGAGAGCUGCAGGCCAAGAGAGCCAGGCAGCUGCCCCAGCCAGCCCCUGCUGCUCAUCCAAGAAGUUUCCCAAGUAGAGGACAAGACCAAGGAAGAAAUGCCCCAAGUGGAGGAGAGGACAGAGGAAGAAGUGCCCCAAGUGGAGGACAGGACAGAGCUGGAAGGGUCCCCAGUGGAAGAUGGCAGAGCCCCAAGGUUGAGUAGUCCUGCAGAGAGGCUCCCUGUGCCUGCCCCUGAGCAGAGCCCGGCAUUUGGCCAGCACAGCCAGGUGCCAGGGCAGGCCUUGGCCAGGUCGAUGGAAGGCCGUGGCCUCAGCGAGCAGGGGGCUGUCCCCCAGCCAGG
Molecule: long non-coding RNA, 2143 nt
Organism: Manacus vitellinus (golden-collared manakin)
Lineage: Eukaryota; Metazoa; Chordata; Aves; Passeriformes; Pipridae
Source: Ensembl